GCCAGGUGUGGUGGCACACGCCUGUAGUCCCAGCUACUUGGGAGGCUGAGGCAGGAGAAUCGCUUGAACCCAGGAGGUGGAGGUUGCAGUGAGCCAAGAUCGUGCCACUGCACUCUAACCUGGGCAACAGAGCGAGACUCUGUCUUAA
RNAcentral lists this non-coding RNA (148 nucleotides) under Chlorocebus sabaeus (green monkey). The record is from Rfam by way of RNAcentral. Lineage: Eukaryota; Metazoa; Chordata; Mammalia; Primates; Cercopithecidae.